RNAcentral lists this transfer RNA (72 nucleotides) under Camelus bactrianus (Bactrian camel). It matches the Rfam family "tRNA". From Rfam's summary of the family: Transfer RNA (tRNA) molecules are approximately 80 nucleotides in length. Their secondary structure includes four short double-helical elements and three loops (D, anti-codon, and T loops). The record is from Rfam by way of RNAcentral. RNAcentral also lists the same sequence under 2 other names. Lineage: Eukaryota; Metazoa; Chordata; Mammalia; Artiodactyla; Camelidae.
AAGGGUAUAGCUCAGUGGUAGAGUGAGUGCUUAGCAUGCACGAGGUACUGGGUUCAAUCCCCAAUAUCUCCA